RNAcentral lists this ribosomal RNA (147 nucleotides) under Bartonella bovis. RNAcentral describes it as "partial 16S-23S ribosomal RNA intergenic spacer". Lineage: Bacteria; Pseudomonadati; Pseudomonadota; Alphaproteobacteria; Hyphomicrobiales; Bartonellaceae. The record is from RNAcentral.
CUUCAGCGUUCUGUUUAUUAAUUCCAAAAGCAAUAAAAACAUUUAGGAGCGUUUAAAAAAACAAACCAAAAGCGUUUAAGAAACAUAUAUGUUUGUUAAACAUAUCUUUUAUCUGUCCCGAGGAAGGUUUUUACCAAUUCACUCCUG